UACGAAGGGGGCUAGCGUUGCUCGGAAUCACUGGGCGUAAAGGGUGCGUAGGCGGGUCUUUAAGUCAGGGGUGAAAUCCUGGAGCUCAACUCCAGAACUGCCUUUGAUACUGAAGAUCUUGAGUUCGGGAGAGGUGAGUGGAACUGCGAGUGUAGAGGUGAAAUUCGUAGAUAUUCGCAAGAACACCAGUGGCGAAGGCGGCUCACUGGCCCCGAUACUGACGCUGAGGCACGAAAGCGUGGGGGGAGCAAACAGGAUUAGAUACCCUGGUAGUCCACGCCGUGAACGAUGAAUGCCAGCCGUUAGUGGGUUUACUCACUAGUGGCGCAGCUAACGCUUUAAGCAUUCCGCCUGGGGAGUACGGUCGCAAGAUUAAAACUC
This 381-nucleotide ribosomal RNA is filed under the name uncultured bacterium. RNAcentral's name for it is "bacterial SSU rRNA". It matches the Rfam family "Bacterial small subunit ribosomal RNA", at positions 524 to 902 of the family's 1533-position model. The record is from RNAcentral.